RNAcentral lists this small nucleolar RNA (132 nucleotides) under Castor canadensis (American beaver). RNAcentral describes it as "Small nucleolar RNA SNORA51 (ENSCCNG00000029677.1)". It matches the Rfam family "Small nucleolar RNA SNORA51". Rfam says of the family: ACA51 is a member of the H/ACA class of snoRNA that guide the sites of modification of uridines to pseudouridines. Lineage: Eukaryota; Metazoa; Chordata; Mammalia; Rodentia; Castoridae. The record is from Rfam by way of RNAcentral.
UGCUUCCUGGUGCUUGCCACAGGCUGUGUUCUUACACUGACAGUAUAGAAAGAGGAGGCAAAAUAAACCUACCUCAUAUACACCUCAGCCCAGGCCCUGGGUCUGGUCUGUAUUGUGAAUGGGGAGACAUGG